GCUGAUUUUCAGAAUGACUUCUGUCACAAGUACACAAAGCCAUCAUGAUUCUUUAUCUGAAAAAUAAAUAAGGAUCAUUAAUUUUCAAUUUUUACUAUAGACUCAGAUUUGGUUACUCCUUCAAAUUGAUUGAGUCAUUUAAGUUUCUUAACACCCUUGCUUCCUUCCUACCCAGUUCCCAUUUCCUUAGUCUUCAACUUAUUUUUUGUAAUCUCUCAAUCUUAUUCCUUUUUCCUGCUUCUCUCCAUUUUUCCACCCUCCCUCCCACUAAAAUGAUUGCCCCUCCUUAAAAAUAAAAUGCUUGCUAAAAAAAAAGAAGCAUAAAAAUAUAAAAGGCAUUCUCUACACAUUGCAUAGCUACUGGCUUCCAAAAAAGUAUAUAGAAAUAUUUUAUCCCUCUUACUUUUUCAAGAAACUGUUGACACUUCAUUCUUGUAUCUGAUAUAGAAAUUGUAUCAAUUUUCCAGUGUCUUCAAUAUUCUCUUU
Molecule: long non-coding RNA, 486 nt
Filed under: Mytilus galloprovincialis (Mediterranean mussel)
Lineage: Eukaryota; Metazoa; Mollusca; Bivalvia; Mytilida; Mytilidae
Source: RNAcentral